GACUCGGUUUGUUUACGUUUUGCCGCGGGGAGUUGCACGUGUGGGCGGCGUUCAAAAUGAUCUACGUUUAUUUCACGUUCCUGACCUCGCCCGCCUAUAAAAGUCCUCGUUGCUCCAGGGCGUAGCUCCGUUACCCUGGGGGGCCUAUGGGGGUGCGGGGUACAGGCACCCAUCGCUCCGGGACACCUUGCCUCAGUGCUCAUCUCUGUCAAAUUAAAGACUCAAGAGCUGUGUGAAGAAGCUGAGCAGCGUCUCCCUGGCCUGGGCGUGGAGUGAGCUGGUCCCCUCAUCACCAGCACCAUAGACCAGGGGAUGAGGUGCUCCUGGCCCUCCGGCACACCCUCCUGGGCGGACCAGAGGAUGUCCACUGUGCUGGUCACUCCACACUCCUAUCAAGGCCGUGCUGGACAGGCUCAGUGACGACUCAGACACGUCAAAUAUCUUCCCUCAGAGGCACUGACAGGCUUCUACAGUGGUAGGGCUGAAACGACACAUCCUGGCGGGGGGCACCUUUGACAGCCCAGGACACACCUCCGCCCCCGCCAGCAACCUCAUCACCCGACUGCUAGUUCAGGACCCAGCGCAGUGGUCCAACUCAGAAGAGAUUGCUGCCACGAGUACCUGGCUAGUGCCCCCCCUCUUAUGUACUAGCCCUGACCUUCAGCGACGACCCCGACCCCAUGGAGGCUCUUCAAGGUGGUGGAGACCCUGUUGCACGUUCAUCUGGUGGUGGAGUUCCCUGGCGGCGGCGGCGAGCUGUUCAACACCAUCACCACGGAGGGACGCAUGACGGAGGCACGGGCAGCGGCAGUCUUCACACAGGUGCUGUCUGCCAUAGCCUGCCGUGUGUGUGUGUGUGUGUGUGUGUGUGUGUAUUUACCUAGUUGUGAAAUACAGGAAAAGAGCUGUACUAGGCUCGUGCUGUCCCGUCUCCAUAACGCUUAUUAUCCAGUUUGGCUUUAAAUUCAUGAAUCGUUUUUGCACACACAGUCUCCUCGUCAAGUCUGU
Eriocheir sinensis (Chinese mitten crab) is the source of this 1008-nucleotide long non-coding RNA. RefSeq lists it as uncharacterized. NCBI's taxonomy places the organism in Eukaryota, Metazoa, Arthropoda, Malacostraca, Decapoda, Varunidae. The record is from RefSeq and is a predicted model, not a curated record. The transcript has 6 exons.